UUUGUAUGGAUAUGUGUGUGUA
This 22-nucleotide microRNA is filed under the name Pan troglodytes (chimpanzee). Its description in RNAcentral is "ptr-miR-3149". Lineage: Eukaryota; Metazoa; Chordata; Mammalia; Primates; Hominidae. The record is from miRBase by way of RNAcentral.